GGUGACCGUCCUCCCGAAGGUUAAACUANCCACUUCUUUUGCAUCCCACUCCCAUGGUGUGACGGGCGGUGUGUACAAGGCCCGGGAACGUAUUCACCGUAGCAUUCUGAUCUACGAUUACUAGCGAUUCCGACUUCACGGAGUCGAGUUGCAGACUCCGAUCCGGACUACGACAAGCUUUGUGGGAUUCGCUCCACCUCGCGGUAUUGCUGCCCUCUGUACCUGCCAUUGUAGCACGUGUGUAGCCCAUCCCGUAAGGGCCAUGAUGACUUGACAUCGUCCCCACCUUCCUCCGGUUUAUCACCGGCAGUCUCCUUAGAGUUCUCGCCAUUACGCGCUAGCAAAUAAGGAUAGGGGUUGCGCUCGUUGCGGGACUUAACCCAACAUUUCACAACACGAGCUGACGACAGCCAUGCAGCACCUGUCUCAGAGUUCCCGAAGGCACACGUCUAUCUCUAGUCGCUUCUCUGGAUGUCAAGGGAUGGUAAGGUUCUUCGCGUUGCAUCGAAUUAAACCACAUGCUCCACCGCUUGUGCGGGCCCCCGUCAAUUCAUUUGAGUUUUAACCUUGCGGCCGUACUCCCCAGGCGGUCAACUUAUUGCGUUAGCUGCGCUACCCACAGAUCAAGUCUACAGACAGCUAGUUGACAUCGUUUACGGCGUGGACUACCAGGGUAUCUAAUCCUGUUUGCUCCCCACGCUUUCGUGCCUCAGCGUCAGUAUCUGUCCAGGUGGCCGCCUUCGCCACUGAUGUUCCUUCCAAUCUCUACGCAUUUCACCGCUACACUGGAAAUUCCACCACCCUCUACAGUACUCUAGACAACCAGUUUCAAAUGCAGUUCCGAGGUUGAGCCCCGGGAUUUCACAUCUGACUUAGCAAUCCGCCUACGCACGCUUUACGCCCAGUAAUUCCGAUUAACGCUCGCACCCUCCGUAUUACCGCGGCUGCUGGCACGGAGUUAGCCGGUGCUUCUUCUGUUGCUAACGUCACAGCUAGCAG
RNAcentral lists this ribosomal RNA (999 nucleotides) under Thalassotalea sp. HaHa247B. Its description in RNAcentral is "partial 16S ribosomal RNA". The record is from RNAcentral. Lineage: Bacteria; Pseudomonadati; Pseudomonadota; Gammaproteobacteria; Alteromonadales; Colwelliaceae.